Molecule: long non-coding RNA, 427 nt
Organism: Paramisgurnus dabryanus
Lineage: Eukaryota; Metazoa; Chordata; Actinopteri; Cypriniformes; Cobitidae
Source: RefSeq, a predicted model, not a curated record
GAAGAAACGCUAGCGUGAGGAGGGUGUUUUGAACACGAUGAGCCGCCAACAGACUACAAGCUAGUCUUGAUGUCUUCACCAGUGGAUGGGAUAACCACCCACUUAGAACUGAGGGUAACCUAACACCCAAUCAGCUGUGGGAGAUGGGGAACAUUCAGCAUGCUAUGGCAGAACCAGAAAAUGCAGAGGGAUUGUACCUACCACAUUUGGACUGGGAGGACAGUGGCCUGCCUGAGGAGCCACACCAUGGUGUCACUGUUCCUGAGAUGGGCAAUGUACUGAGUGAUGAACAAAUGGCAGCACUAAGGAGAGAUAUAAAUCCCCUGGGACACUCCCAAUCACAUGGCUCAGACAUCUACCUACUUACCGUCCAGUAUGUCCAGCAAUUACUAGGCUUACAGUAAAACCUACUAGGCGAAGGAGCUGA